ACAAGUGCCGGCAGAACAAUUUUUCCGGCGAGCGCGUGACCCCACGCGCCGGCGCAUGAGCCUCUUUCCGGCCACUUUUUGAAAAAAUAUCUUGAGGACAGUUGGAUCGCCUCACUUUUCCGAGCCUACCCAUAUUUUUACUUUUCAAUUCCGACCACUUUGAAUUUUUUUCGGCAUCUACAGUGAAUUUUCCGGCAACUACAGAAAUUUUUCCGGCAAACACAGUUCUUUCAGCAAAUUGUCAGCUGAUUCUUUUUUAUUAUUUGGUAAUAAUCCAACCAUGUCUUUGGGAGUUGAUGCUUUCGGGCCUAAAAACCCGGCUUCUGGCAAUUCCGGUGUUAUGAUUACCUCAAAACCUUUAAUGGGAGGUUCCAACUACUUGGCUUGGAUUUCGUCUGUCGAGUUGUGGUGUAAAGGUCAAGGUGUUCAAGAUCAUCUAAUCAAGGAGUCUAGUGAAGGAGAUGAAAAAGCCAAAGUACAUUGGGAAACCUUUAAUGGGAGGUUCCAACUACUUAGCUUGGGCUUCGUCUGUCGAGUUGUGGUAUAAAGGUCAAGGUGUUCAAGAUCAUCUAAUAAAGGAGUAGUGAAAGAGAUGAAAAAGCCAAAGCACAUUGGGAGAAGAUCGAUACUCAAUUAUGCAAUAUUUUGUGGCGAUCUAUUGAUUCCAAGUUGAUGCCCUUGUUUCGUCCAUNNNN
RNAcentral lists this long non-coding RNA (695 nucleotides) under Nicotiana benthamiana. Its description in RNAcentral is "long non-coding RNA (NBEN_LNC010935)". The record is from RNAcentral. Lineage: Eukaryota; Viridiplantae; Streptophyta; Magnoliopsida; Solanales; Solanaceae.